This 439-nucleotide ribosomal RNA is filed under the name uncultured bacterium. Its description in RNAcentral is "partial 16S ribosomal RNA". It matches the Rfam family "Bacterial small subunit ribosomal RNA", at positions 339 to 795 of the family's 1533-position model. The record is from RNAcentral.
CUACGGGUUGCAGCAGUGAGGAAUAUUGCACAAUGGAGGAAACUCUGAUGCAGCAACGCCGCGUGGAGGAUGACGCAUUUCGGUGUGUAAACCCCUUUUAUAUGUCAAGAAAAUGACGGUAGCAUAUGAAUAAGCACCGGCUAACUCCGUGCCAGCAGCCGCGGUAAUACGGAGGGUGCAAGCGUUACUCGGAAUCACUGGGCGUAAAGGACGCGUAGGCGGGAUAUCAAGUCAGGUGUGAAAUCCUACAGCUUAACUGUAGAACUGCACUUGAAACUGGUAACCUAGAGUAUGGGAGGGGGAGAUGGAAUUAGUGGUGUAGGGGUAAAAUCCGUAGAUAUCACUAGGAAUACCUAAAGCGAAGGCGAUCUCCUGGAACAUAACUGACGCUAAGGCGUGAAAGCGUGGGGAGCAAACAGGAUUAGAUACCCGGGUAGUC